Molecule: long non-coding RNA, 717 nt
Organism: Prunus dulcis (almond)
Lineage: Eukaryota; Viridiplantae; Streptophyta; Magnoliopsida; Rosales; Rosaceae
Exons: 3
Source: RefSeq, a predicted model, not a curated record
UUCCCCCAAUUUACUUCCCUCGCAUCCACUCUCUCCGCCGUCUUCCACACCACCGAUGCCUUCAACUAAGUCCUCCACGAACGCUCGCAAUGAAAUCUUCCAACGAUGCCGGCCAAUCACUUAUAUACCCACUAUCUCUUCAUCCCCCUUCAGAUUUCUCAUGGCCCUUAUUUCUCACUCUCUUUCCCAAAAUCAUCCUUCAUCGAUGCCAACCACUUGCUGCUACGACAACAUAUACUAGAGAUUCUCUGCAAUGUGCUCAGCCACAGACCAACUCUGAUUCAAAGUAACGAUGUGGUCGACGACCCCUCAACCACUUCUCAUCUGCUGUCUCUAUGUUAGGAAGAUGAUGAGUUUGAGAAGGUCAAGCAAACAAUUGGCAGUGUAAUUCCACGAUAUUAGAUCACAGCCCCUAUCCCACGUGUUAAAAGAUCAUGACUACAAAACUUGAGGAUACAAAAGGCAUAGUAUACAUGUAUUUUGUUUUGUUCAAAAGAGUGUACAAGCUUGGUAAUAGUCUUAGAGUGGAGAAAUAAUGAUUGCAGAACUUGGGUUUACCAAGGGCAAGAAUAUAUGGAGCUUGGCCUCCAGUCUUUCAGUGGAAUUUGGAUAUGUUAUGUGUACUUGAAUGGCUAGUACGCUUGUGUACUUUUGAAUGAGAGAAAUUUGUAUUCAUGUAAUUUUCUAUUGAUCUAUUGAUCUAAAUUUAUUGUUUUU